CACCUGGGGGGGCGGCUACACAUGCAGUCGAGCGGAUGAGAGGAGCUUGCUCCUUGAUUUAGCGGCGGACGGGUGAGUAAUGCCUAGGAAUCUGCCUGGUAGUGGGGGAUAACGUCCGGAAACGGGCGCUAAUACCGCAUACGUCCUACGGGAGAAAGCAGGGGACCUUCGGGCCUUGCGCUAUCAGAUGAGCCUAGGUCGGAUUAGCUAGUUGGUGAGGUAAUGGCUCACCAAGGCGACGAUCCGUAACUGGUCUGAGAGGAUGAUCAGUCACACUGGAACUGAGACACGGUCCAGACUCCUACGGGAGGCAGCAGUGGGGAAUAUUGGACAAUGGGCGAAAGCCUGAUCCAGCCAUGCCGCGUGUGUGAAGAAGGUCUUCGGAUUGUAAAGCACUUUAAGUUGGGAGGAAGGGCAUUAACCUAAUACGUUAGUGUUUUGACGUUACCGACAGAAUAAGCACCGGCUAACUUCGUGCCAGCAGCCGCGGUAAUACGAAGGGUGCAAGCGUUAAUCGGAAUUACUGGGCGUAAAGCGCGCGUGGGUGGUUCGUUAAGUUGGAUGCGAAAGCCCCGGGCUCAACCUGGGAACUGCAUCCAAAACUGGCGAGCUAGAGUACGGUAGAGGGUGGUGGAAUUUCCUGUGUAGCGGUGAAAUGCGUAGAUAUAGGAAGGAACACCAGUGGCGAAGGCGACCACCUGGACUGAUACUGACACUGAGGUGCGAAAGCGUGGGGAGCAAACAGGAUUAGAUACCCUGGUAGUCCACGCCGUAAACGAUAUCAACUAGCCGUUGGGUUCCUUGAGAACUUAGUGGCGCAGCUAACGCAUUAAGUUGACCGCCUGGGGAGUACGGCCGCAAGGUUAAAACUCAAAUGAAUUGACGGGGCCCGCACAAGCGGUGGAGCAUGGUGGUUUAAUUCGAAGCAACGCGAGAACCUUACCUUGCCUUGACAUGCUGAGAACUUUCCAGAAAUGGAUCUGCUGC
RNAcentral lists this ribosomal RNA (987 nucleotides) under uncultured bacterium. RNAcentral's name for it is "bacterial SSU rRNA". It matches the Rfam family "Bacterial small subunit ribosomal RNA", at positions 34 to 1018 of the family's 1533-position model. The record is from RNAcentral.